GGUUCCACCGGUAUCAUCGGCCACGUCCAGCAGCGGACUAUCGAGGUGCUAUACAACGUAGGCGGCAGUGCCGUCGGGUUCCGCCGUCGCGCGUGCUGAGCACCUAUUACCGUUUGAGCUCUUGGGGCAUAUCUAUCGGGCCUUUAACCUAUGGCCGUCAAAAUAAGCCCGUUUGAUUAGUGUUCUGCAUGCUGUAUCUCCCUUUACAUGUAAUUUGUGUGUGAUUUAUCGAUUGUAAAAGCUUAUUGUAUGAAAUGAAACUUAAGGUUUAUUUUUAUUUUUCGGUGAGGAAAGUUUAAAAUUUGUAUCUGAUAAGUGUCACAUGGGUGACAUGAAUACAUACCAACUCCUAACGUUUUUUAUGGCAGCAUGACAACUUUUUUUUCAAAUGGCAAGUAUCAGUUUUUUCUUUUUUUCUUUUUUUUUUCAAAUAUCAACUAUAAUUGUAAAUAGAGUGCUUCAUGUCACACGUGUGGCAUAUAUCAUUUGGAUAAUAUUUGUUUACCAGACUAUUUAGUCCUUGUUCGAGUUGCAGGCUAUGAUGAUCCUGAAAUGAUCAAGAAUUCUUCACCAUAUAUGAACCAUUAUAAAAUAAUCAAAAUCAUUAUGCAUAAUUUUACUGUUUUACAUAUUCUUAAUCGUACGUCCAUUCAAGUUAGCUGUCAUACUUCCUCCAUCAUAGUUUAUAAGGCGUGCACGUGUACCUAGAUCGUCAAUUUGACUUAUAUAAAAUAUAUUGUUUAACAUAAAAAUUAUAUCAUUGUUUUUUUUUCUUUUGCAAGUAAAUAUGCAUCGAUCAAAUUGCAAGCUAAAUUCAACUUUUAUAUGUAAUUAGAGUGACAACAAAAUGGUGUGUAAACUAUGACAAUUACAUAGAAAAUAUUGAUGACUCAUUGUAAUGCAUAGAAAAUUUCCUAGUAAUAGGUAAAAAUAAGUCCUAACUCACCAUAUGGGAUGUUGCCCCAUCUGCCCGAGGCAAAAAUACUGAUACUCUCGGCUAUGUUUUUUGAAGUUACUCAUAAGUAUGUACGAACGUUCAUCCCAAAAAAAAAAAGUAUGUACGAACGUUCGCGUUUUUACUGUGUAAAAAGAAAACCGUGUCGUGUUUGAACCACUCAGGAAAGAGAGGCUUGGCAUCGUGUUGCUUUGAGUGCCAUACGUAACCCACAUCGUCGCCCCAUCCAAGGGCCAGCUGGACACCUGCUACGACUUCACCGGCGUCCGCAACGUGAGGCUGCCCAAGAUCUCGCUUGUGUUCUAUAGCCGGAGCAAUGGCGGCGCUGCCGUGGAGCUUGACCCGUCGGGGGUGCUGUUCAACAGCUGCCUCGCGUUUGCGUCCACCAGCGGUGGCGAUGGAUCCACCGGUAUCAUCGGCCACGUCCAGCAGCGGACCAUCGAGGUUUGCAUGUUUAUUGUUUUACAUAUUCGGCGGACCAUCGAGGUGCUAUACAACGUCGGCGGCAGCGCCGUCGGGUUCCGCCGUCGCGCGUGCUGAGCAGCUAUCAGUCUAUCACCGUUUGAGCUCUUGGGGCAUGUCUAUAGGGCCUUUAACCUAUGGCCGAUAAAAUAAGCCCGUUUGAUUAGUGUUUUGCAUGCUGUAUCUCCCUUUACAUGUAUUUUGUGUGUGAUUUAUUGAUUGUAAAAGCUUAUUGUAUGAAAUGAUGCUUAAGAUCUAUUUUUCUAUUUUG
Molecule: long non-coding RNA, 1688 nt
Filed under: Hordeum vulgare
Lineage: Eukaryota; Viridiplantae; Streptophyta; Magnoliopsida; Poales; Poaceae
Description: long non-coding RNA (HVUL_LNC017386)
Source: RNAcentral